UCCAUCUAAUAAAGUAUGAGAAUUUCACAAAUGAAAUGGGAACAUGUGUCACACAAAGUCAACAUUUGACUAGGCAGGGAAGAAAAAUCUCAAACAAAUAGAAAAUAGUUCAAUUAAAUCCAGGAAAAUUCACAAGUAAACUAGACAUACAAGAGUAGGCUCAUGCAAAAUUUCAAUCCAUUUGGAGGUCAAGAAGCAUGGCAAUGAAAAUCAUGAAGUUGGUCAUCAAUGGUGUGACACAAAUUGUCACACCCUAAUUCAAAA
Molecule: long non-coding RNA, 264 nt
Filed under: Lathyrus oleraceus (garden pea)
Lineage: Eukaryota; Viridiplantae; Streptophyta; Magnoliopsida; Fabales; Fabaceae
Description: Pisum sativum (pea) long non-coding RNA (PSAT_LNC025365)
Source: RNAcentral